CCUACGGGGUGCAGCAGUGAGGAAUAUUGGUCAAUGGGCGCGAGCCUGAACCAGCCAAGUAGCGUGAAGGAUGACUGCCCUACGGGUUGUAAACUUCUUUUAUAAAGGAAUAAAGUGAGCCACGUGUGCCUUUAUGUAUGUACUUUAUGAAUAAGGAUCGGCUAACUCCGUGCCAGCAGCCGCGGUAAUACGGAGGAUCCGAGCGUUAUCCGGAUUUAUUGGGUUUAAAGGGAGCGUAGAUGGGUUGUUAAGUCAGUUGUGAAAGUUUGCGGCUCAACCGUAAAAUUGCAAUUGAUACUGGCAGUCUUGAGUACAGUUGAGGUAGGCGGAAUUCGUGGUGUAGCGGUGAAAUGCUUAGAUAUCACGAAGAACCCCGAUUGCGAAGGCAGCUUACUAAACUGCCACUGACAUUGAUGCUCGAAAGUGUGGGUAUCAAACAGGAUUAGAUACCCCAGUAGUC
Molecule: ribosomal RNA, 460 nt
Filed under: uncultured bacterium
Lineage: Bacteria
Description: partial 16S ribosomal RNA
Rfam family: Bacterial small subunit ribosomal RNA
Source: RNAcentral